Molecule: long non-coding RNA, 212 nt
Filed under: Phoenix dactylifera (date palm)
Lineage: Eukaryota; Viridiplantae; Streptophyta; Magnoliopsida; Arecales; Arecaceae
Description: long non-coding RNA (PDAC_LNC012511)
Source: RNAcentral
CUCGAACAUGGGAGUUGACCUCAAUAUCAUGCGCCUCCCAAAAGUCAAGAGUCCUAGCUUCCACCUGAUUAGAAAAAGAUUGACAAUUUGAUUUUUUUUGCAAUUAAAUGAUGAUAAAGGUAAAAAAAGAUGAUCAGGAUCAACCAAGGGUCGACCGACAGGAGAAGGGGGGAGAGAGAAAGAGACUUCUUUUGGGGUCAACCAUGAAAAAA